CCUACGGGCGGCAGCAGUGAGGAAUAUUGGUCAAUGGGCGGGAGCCUGAACCAGCCAAGUAGCGUGAAGGAUGAAUGCCCUACGGGUCGUAAACCUCUUUUGUAAAGGAAUAAAGUGUGGCACGUGUGCCCUUUUGUAUGUACUUUAUGAAUAAGGAUCGGCUAACUCCGUGCCAGCAGCCGCGGUAAUACGGAGGAUCCGAGCGUUAUCCGGAUUUAUUGGGUUUAAAGGGAGCGGAGAUGGGUUGUUAAGUCAGUGGGGAAAGUUUGCGGCUCAACCGUAAAACUGCAAUUGAUACGGGCAGCCUUGAGUUGAGUUGAGGUAGGCGGAAUUCGUGGUGUAGCGGUGAAAUGCUUAGAUAUCACGAAGAACUCCGAUUGCGAAGGCAGCCUACUAACCUCCCACUGACAUUGAUGCUCGAAAGUGUGGGUAUCAAACAGGAUUAGAUACCCGAGUAGUC
This 460-nucleotide ribosomal RNA is filed under the name uncultured bacterium. RNAcentral describes it as "partial 16S ribosomal RNA". It matches the Rfam family "Bacterial small subunit ribosomal RNA", at positions 338 to 795 of the family's 1533-position model. The record is from RNAcentral.